This 449-nucleotide ribosomal RNA is filed under the name uncultured bacterium. RNAcentral's name for it is "bacterial SSU rRNA". It matches the Rfam family "Bacterial small subunit ribosomal RNA", at positions 917 to 1382 of the family's 1533-position model. The record is from RNAcentral.
GGACCCGCACAAGCGGUGGAGCAUGUGGUUUAAUUCGACGAUAAGCGAGGAACCUCACCAAGGUUUGACAUGUAGCUGCAAGGUCUGGAAACAGAUCCGCCUUCGAGGGUGCUACACAGAUGCUGCAUGGUUGUCGUCAGCUCGUGUCGUGAGAUGUACCGUUAAGUCGGGAAACGAGCGCAACCCUUAUCCUAUGUUUUAUAUGUCAUAGGAGACUGCCCGUUUUAAAUGGGAGGAAGGUGGGAUGACGUCAAAUCAGCAUGGUUCUUACACCUUGGGCAACACACGUGCUACAAUGGGAGGUACAAAGGGACGCCAAACCGCGAGGUGGAGCAAAUCCCUAAAAACCUUCCUCAGUUCGGAUUGAAGGCUGCAAUUCGCCUUCAUGAAGCUGGAAUCGCUAGUAAUCGUGGAUCAGCUAUGCCACGGUGAAUACGUUCUCGGGUCUU